This 672-nucleotide ribosomal RNA is filed under the name Vibrio cholerae O1 biovar El Tor str. N16961. RNAcentral's name for it is "partial 23S ribosomal RNA". It matches the Rfam family "Bacterial large subunit ribosomal RNA", at positions 2281 to 2925 of the family's 2925-position model. Lineage: Bacteria; Pseudomonadati; Pseudomonadota; Gammaproteobacteria; Vibrionales; Vibrionaceae. The record is from RNAcentral.
GGUCUCCUCCCAAAGAGUAACGGAGGAGCACGAAGGUGGGCUAAUCACGGUUGGACAUCGUGAGGUUAGUGCAAUGGCAUAAGCCCGCUUAACUGCGAGAAUGACGGUUCGAGCAGGUGCGAAAGCAGGUCAUAGUGAUCCGGUGGUUCUGUAUGGAAGGGCCAUCGCUCAACGGAUAAAAGGUACUCCGGGGAUAACAGGCUGAUACCGCCCAAGAGUUCAUAUCGACGGCGGUGUUUGGCACCUCGAUGUCGGCUCAUCACAUCCUGGGGCUGAAGUCGGUCCCAAGGGUAUGGCUGUUCGCCAUUUAAAGUGGUACGCGAGCUGGGUUUAGAACGUCGUGAGACAGUUCGGUCCCUAUCUGCCGUGGGCGUUGGAAGAUUGAAGGGGGCUGCUCCUAGUACGAGAGGACCGGAGUGGACGAACCUCUGGUGUUCGGGUUGUGUCGCCAGACGCAUUGCCCGGUAGCUAAGUUCGGAAUUGAUAAGCGCUGAAAGCAUCUAAGCGCGAAGCGAGCCCUGAGAUGAGUCUUCCCUGACAGUUUAACUGUCCUAAAGGGUUGUUCGAGACUAGAACGUUGAUAGGCAGGGUGUGUAAGCGUUGUGAGGCGUUGAGCUAACCUGUACUAAUUGCCCGUGAGGCUUAACCAUACAACACCCAAGGGGUUUUGUA